This 76-nucleotide transfer RNA is filed under the name Planctomycetota bacterium. Its description in RNAcentral is "Planctomycetes bacterium (activated sludge metagenome) tRNA-Ala". It matches the Rfam family "tRNA". From Rfam's summary of the family: Transfer RNA (tRNA) molecules are approximately 80 nucleotides in length. Their secondary structure includes four short double-helical elements and three loops (D, anti-codon, and T loops). Lineage: Bacteria; Pseudomonadati; Planctomycetota. The record is from RNAcentral.
GGGGCCGUAGCUCAGUUGGUAGAGCGCUGCGUUCGCAAUGCAGAGGUCAGGGGUUCGACUCCCCUCGGCUCCACCA